RNAcentral lists this ribosomal RNA (253 nucleotides) under uncultured prokaryote. RNAcentral's name for it is "partial 16S ribosomal RNA". It matches the Rfam family "Bacterial small subunit ribosomal RNA", at positions 524 to 776 of the family's 1533-position model. The record is from RNAcentral.
UACAGAGGGUGCAAGCGUUAAUCGGAAUUACUGGGCGUAAAGCGCACGUAGGUGGCUUGAUAAGUUGGAUGUGAAAUCCCCGAGCUUAACUUGGGAAUUGCAUUCAAGACUGUCUUGCUAGAGUGUGGAAGAGGGAAGCGGAAUUCCAGGUGUAGCGGUGAAAUGCGUAGAUAUCUGGAGGAACAUCAGUGGCGAAGGCGGCUUCCUGGUCCAACACUGACACUGAGGUGCGAAAGCGUGGGGAGCAAACAGG